GAUCUGGCUCAGGAUGAACGCUGGCGGCGUGCUUAACACAUGCAAGUCGAGCGAAGCACUUAAGUUUGAUUCUUCGGAUGAAGACUUUUGUGACUGAGCGGGCGGACGGGUGAGGUAACGCGUGGGUAACCUGCCUCAUACAGGGGGAUAACAGUUAGAAAUGACUGCUAAUACCGCAUAAGACCACGGUACCGCAUGGUACAGUGGUAAAAACUCCGGUGGUAUGAGAUGGACCCGCGU
This 240-nucleotide ribosomal RNA is filed under the name uncultured bacterium. RNAcentral describes it as "partial 16S ribosomal RNA". It matches the Rfam family "Bacterial small subunit ribosomal RNA", at positions 15 to 236 of the family's 1533-position model. The record is from RNAcentral.